Molecule: ribosomal RNA, 253 nt
Filed under: uncultured bacterium
Lineage: Bacteria
Description: partial 16S ribosomal RNA
Rfam family: Bacterial small subunit ribosomal RNA
Source: RNAcentral
GACAGAGGGUGCAAACGUUGCUCGGAAUUACUGGGCGUAAAGCGCGUGUAGGCUGACCGGAAAGUCGGGCGUGAAAUCCCUGGGCUCAACCCAGGAACUGCACUCGAAACUCCCGGUCUUGAGUGGUGGAGAGGGAAGUGGAAUUCCUGGUGCAGAGGUGAAAUUCGUAGAUAUCAGGAGGAACACCAGUGGCGAAGGCGGCUUCCUGGACACCAACUGACGCUGAGACGCGAAAGCGUGGGGAGCAAACAGG